GACGAACGCUGGCGGCGUGCUUAACACAUGCAAGUCGAACGGAAAGGCCCUGCUUUUGCGGGGUGCUCGAGUGGCGAACGGGUGAGUAACACGUGAGUAACCUGCCCUUGACUUUGGGAUAACUUCAGGAAACUGGGGCUAAUACCGGAUAGGAGCUCCUGCUGCAUGGUGGGGGUUGGAAAGUUUCGGCGGUUGGGGAUGGACUCGCGGCUUAUCAGCUUGUUGGUGGGGUAGUGGCUUACCAAGGCUUUGACGGGUAGCCGGCCUGAGAGGGUGACCGGCCACAUUGGGACUGAGAUACGGCCCAGACUCCUACGGGAGGCAGCAGUGGGGAAUAUUGCACAAUGGGCGGAAGCCUGAUGCAGCAACGCCGCGUGCGGGAUGACAGCCUUCGGGUUGUAAACCGCUUUCGCCUGUGACGAAGCGUGAGUGACGGUAAUGGGUAAAGAAGCACCGGCUAACUACGUG
Molecule: ribosomal RNA, 468 nt
Filed under: uncultured bacterium
Lineage: Bacteria
Description: partial 16S ribosomal RNA
Rfam family: Bacterial small subunit ribosomal RNA
Source: RNAcentral